CGCACGGGUGAGUAACACGUGAGUGACCUGCCUUUUAGACUGGAACAACUUACCGAAAGGUGAGCUAAUGCCGGAUGAGUUAUAUAAGUGCAUGUUUAUAUAGGAAAAGUUGGGGAGACCUGACGCUGAAAGAUGGACUCGCGUCCCAUUAGCUGGUUGGUAGGGUAAUGGCCUACCAAGGCGACGAUGGGUAGCCGGCCUGAGAGGGUGGCCGGCCACACUGGGACUGAGACACGGCCCAGACUCCUACGGAAGGCAGCAG
This 262-nucleotide ribosomal RNA is filed under the name uncultured bacterium. RNAcentral describes it as "partial 16S ribosomal RNA". It matches the Rfam family "Bacterial small subunit ribosomal RNA", at positions 99 to 354 of the family's 1533-position model. The record is from RNAcentral.